Molecule: ribosomal RNA, 465 nt
Filed under: uncultured Klebsiella sp.
Lineage: Bacteria; Pseudomonadati; Pseudomonadota; Gammaproteobacteria; Enterobacterales; Enterobacteriaceae
Description: bacterial SSU rRNA
Rfam family: Bacterial small subunit ribosomal RNA
Source: RNAcentral
CCUACGGGUGGCAGCAGUGGGGAAUAUUGCACAAUGGGCGCAAGCCUGAUGCAGCCAUGCCGCGUGUGUGAAGAAGGCCUUCGGGUUGUAAAGCACUUUCAGCGGGGAGGAAGGCGGUGAGGUUAAUAACCUCAUCGAUUGACGUUACCCGCAGAAGAAGCACCGGCUAACUCCGUGCCAGCAGCCGCGGUAAUACGGAGGGUGCAAGCGUGAAUCGGAAUUACUGGGCGUAAAGCGCACGCAGGCGGUCUGUCAAGUCGGAUGUGAAAUCCCCGGGCUCAACCUGGGAACUGCAUUCGAAACUGGCAGGCUAGAGUCCUGUAGAGGGGGGUAGAGUUCCAGGUGUAGCGGUGAAAUGCGUAGAGAUCUGGAGGAAUACCGGUGGCGAAGGCGGCCCCCUGGACAAAGACUGACGCUCAGGUGCGAAAGCGUGGGGAGCAAACAGGAUUAGAUACCCCUGUAGUC